This 397-nucleotide ribosomal RNA is filed under the name uncultured bacterium. RNAcentral's name for it is "partial 16S ribosomal RNA". It matches the Rfam family "Bacterial small subunit ribosomal RNA", at positions 523 to 918 of the family's 1533-position model. The record is from RNAcentral.
AUACGUAGGGGGCGAGCGUUGUCCGGAAUGAUUGGGCGUAAAGGGCGCGUAGGCGGCGCGGUAAGUCUGGAGUGAAAGUCCUGCUUUCAAGGUGGGAAUUGCUUUGGAUACUGCCGCGCUUGAGUGCAGGAGAGGUUAUCGGAAUUCCCGGUGUAGCGGUGAAAUGCGUAGAGAUCGGGAGGAACACCAGUGGCGAAGGCGGGUAACUGGACUGCAACUGACGCUGAGGCGCGAAAGUGUGGGGAGCAAACAGGAUUAGAUACCCUGGUAGUCCACACCGUAAACGAUGAAUGCUAGGUGUAGGGGGUAUCGACCCCUUCUGUGCCGCAGUCAACACAAUAAGCAUUCCGCCUGGGGAGUACGGCCGCAAGGUUGGAACUCAAAUGAAUUGACGGGG